RNAcentral lists this microRNA (21 nucleotides) under Tribolium castaneum (red flour beetle). RNAcentral's name for it is "Tca-Mir-11617-P4_3p (mature (guide))". Lineage: Eukaryota; Metazoa; Arthropoda; Insecta; Coleoptera; Tenebrionidae. The record is from RNAcentral.
UAGUACUUUCUAUGGCAACUU